This 811-nucleotide ribosomal RNA is filed under the name Fusarium solani. RNAcentral describes it as "partial 28S ribosomal RNA". It matches the Rfam family "Eukaryotic large subunit ribosomal RNA", at positions 67 to 911 of the family's 3401-position model. The record is from RNAcentral. Lineage: Eukaryota; Fungi; Ascomycota; Sordariomycetes; Hypocreales; Nectriaceae.
AACAGGGAUUGCCCCAGUAACGGCGAGUGAAGCGGCAACAGCUCAAAUUUGAAAUCUGGCUCUCGGGCCCGAGUUGUAAUUUGUAGAGGAUGCUUUUGGUGAGGUGCCUUCCGAGUUCCCUGGAACGGGACGCCAUAGAGGGUGAGAGCCCCGUCUGGUUGGACGCCGAACCUCUGUAAAGCUCCUUCGACGAGUCGAGUAGUUUGGGAAUGCUGCUCUAAAUGGGAGGUAUAUGUCUUCUAAAGCUAAAUACCGGCCAGAGACCGAUAGCGCACAAGUAGAGUGAUCGAAAGAUGAAAAGAACUUUGAAAAGAGAGUUAAACAGUACGUGAAAUUGUUGAAAGGGAAGCGCUUGUGACCAGACUUGGGCUUGGUUGAUCAUCCGGGGUUCUCCCCGUGCACUCUUCCGGCCCAGGCAGCAUCAGUUCGCCCUGGGGAUAAAGGCAUCGGGAACGUGGCUCUCUCCGGGGAGUGUUAUAGCCCGUUGCGUAAUACCCUGCGGCGGACUGAGGUUCGCGCAUUCGCAAGGAUGCUGGCGUAAUGGUCAUCAGUGACCCGUCUUGAAACACGGACCAAGGAGUCGUCUUCGUAUGCGAGUGUUCGGGUGUCAAACCCCUACGCGAAAUGAAAGUGAACGCAGGUGAGAGCUUCGGCGCAUCAUCGACCGAUCCUGAUGUUAUCGGAUGGAUUUGAGUAAGAGCAUACGGGGCCGGACCCGAAAGAAGGUGAACUAUGCCUGUGUAGGGUGAAGCCAGAGGAAACUCUGGUGGAGGCUCGCAGCGGUUCUGACGUGCAAAUCGAUCGUCAAACA